CCUACGGGGGGCAGCAGUGAGGAAUAUUGGUCAAUGGGCGUAAGCCUGAACCAGCCAAGUCGCGUGAGGGAUGAAGGUUCUAUGGAUCGUAAACCUCUUUUAUAAGGGAAUAAAGUGUGGGACGUGUCCUGUUUUGUAUGUACCUUAUGAAUAAGGAUCGGCUAACUCCGUGCCAGCAGCCGCGGUAAUACGGAGGAUCCGAGCGUUAUCCGGAUUUAUUGGGUUUAAAGGGUGCGUAGGCGGCAUUUUAAGUCAGCGGUGAAAGUCUGUGGCUCAACCAGAGAAUUGCCGUGGGAACUGGGAGGCUUGAGUUUGUUUAAGGCAGGCGGAAUGCGUGGUGUAGCGGUGAAAUGCUUAGAUAUCACGAAGAACCCCGAUUGCGAAGGCAGCCUGCCAAGCCAUGACUGACGCUGAUGCACGAAAGCGUGGGGAUCAAACAGGAUUAGAUACCCCUGUAGUC
This 460-nucleotide ribosomal RNA is filed under the name uncultured bacterium. RNAcentral's name for it is "partial 16S ribosomal RNA". It matches the Rfam family "Bacterial small subunit ribosomal RNA", at positions 338 to 795 of the family's 1533-position model. The record is from RNAcentral.